AGAGUUUGAUCCUGGCUCAGAAUCAACGCUGGCGGCGUGCCUCAGACAUGCAAGUCGAACGAUUAAAGCUCUCUUCGGAGAGUGCAUAGAGUGGCGCACGGGUGAGUAACACGUAAGUAAUCUACCUUCGAGUGGGGAAUAACAGUCGGAAACGACUGCUAAUACCGCAUAAUGCAGCGGCAUCGCGAGAUGACAGUUGUUAAAGAUUUAUCGCUUGAAGAGGAGCUUGCGGCAGAUUAGCUAGUUGGUAAGGUAAUGGCUUACCAAGGCUACGAUCUGUAACCGGUCUAAGAGGACGGUCGGUCACACUGACACUGAAUAACGGGUCAGACUCCUACGGGAGGCAGCAGUCGGGAAUUUUGGGCAAUGGGCGAAAGCCUGACCCAGCAACGCCGCGUGAAGGAUGAAGUAUUUCGGUAUGUAAACUUCGAAAGAAUAGGAAGAAUAAAUGACGGUACUAUUUAUAAGGUCCGGCUAACUACGUGCCAGCCGCCGCGGUAAUUC
RNAcentral lists this ribosomal RNA (504 nucleotides) under uncultured bacterium. RNAcentral's name for it is "bacterial SSU rRNA". It matches the Rfam family "Bacterial small subunit ribosomal RNA", at positions 8 to 526 of the family's 1533-position model. The record is from RNAcentral.